This 1813-nucleotide ribosomal RNA is filed under the name Salmonella enterica. RNAcentral's name for it is "partial 23S ribosomal RNA". It matches the Rfam family "Bacterial large subunit ribosomal RNA", at positions 830 to 2539 of the family's 2925-position model. The record is from RNAcentral. Lineage: Bacteria; Pseudomonadati; Pseudomonadota; Gammaproteobacteria; Enterobacterales; Enterobacteriaceae.
CAAUCAAACCGGGAGAUAGCUGGUUCUCCCCGAAAGCUAUUUAGGUAGCGCCUCGUGAAUUCAUCUCCGGGGGUAGAGCACUGUUUCGGCUAGGGGGCCAUCCCGGCUUACCAACCCGAUGCAAACUGCGAAUACCGGAGAAUGUUAUCACGGGAGACACACGGCGGGUGCUAACGUCCGUCGUGAAGAGGGAAACAACCCAGACCGCCAGCUAAGGUCCCAAAGUCAUGGUUAAGUGGGAAACGAUGUGGGAAGGCCCAGACAGCCAGGAUGUUGGCUUAGAAGCAGCCAUCAUUUAAAGAAAGCGUAAUAGCUCACUGGUCGAGUCGGCCUGCGCGGAAGAUGUAACGGGGCUAAACCAUGCACCGAAGCUGCGGCAGCGAACGUAUCACCCAAGACAACUUUACGGAGUUGACGAUUGACGGAGCGAAGCGACGUCAAAGCGUUCAUUAAAGUCGAGUUGGCUUAGGGAUACGUUCGUUGGGUAGGGGAGCGUUCUGUAAGCCUGUGAAGGUGUGUCGUGAGGCAUGCUGGAGGUAUCAGAAGUGCGAAUGCUGACAUAAGUAACGAUAAAGCGGGUGAAAAGCCCGCUCGCCGGAAGACCAAGGGUUCCUGUCCAACGUUAAUCGGGGCAGGGUGAGUCGACCCCUAAGGCGAGGCCGAAAGGCGUAGUCGAUGGGAAACGGGUUAAUAUUCCCGUACUUGGUGUUACUGCGAAGGGGGGACGGAGAAGGCUAUGUUGGCCGGGCGACGGUUGUCCCGGUUUAAGCGUGUAGGUGUGUGUUCCAGGUAAAUCCGGUUCACUUUAACACUGAGGCGUGACGACGAGGCACUACGGUGCUGAAGCAACAAAUGCCCUGCUUCCAGGAAAAGCCUCUAAGCAUCAGGUAACACGAAAUCGUACCCCAAACCGACACAGGUGGUCAGGUAGAGAAUACCAAGGCGCUUGAGAGAACUCGGGUGAAGGAACUAGGCAAAAUGGUGCCGUAACUUCGGGAGAAGGCACGCUGACACGUAGGUGAAGUGAUUUACUCAUGGAGCUGAAGUCAGUCGAAGAUACCAGCUGGCUGCAACUGUUUAUUAAAAACACAGCACUGUGCAAACACGAAAGUGGACGUAUACGGUGUGACGCCUGCCCGGUGCCGGAAGGUUAAUUGAUGGGGUCAGCGUAAGCGAAGCUCCUGAUCGAAGCCCCGGUAAACGGCGGCCGUAACUAUAACGGUCCUAAGGUAGCGAAAUUCCUUGUCGGGUAAGUUCCGACCUGCACGAAUGGCGUAAUGAUGGCCAGGCUGUCUCCACCCGAGACUCAGUGAAAUUGAACUCGCUGUGAAGAUGCAGUGUACCCGCGGCAAGACGGAAAGACCCCGUGAACCUUUACUAUAGCUUGACACUGAACAUUGAGCCUUGAUGUGUAGGAUAGGUGGGAGGCUUUGAAGUGUGGACGCCAGUCUGCAUGGAGCCGACCUUGAAAUACCACCCUUUAAUGUUUGAUGUUCUAACGUGGACCCGUAAUCCGGGUUGCGGACAGUGUCUGGUGGGUAGUUUGACUGGGGCGGUCUCCUCCUAAAGAGUAACGGAGGAGCACGAAGGUUGGCUAAUCCUGGUCGGACAUCAGGAGGUUAGUGCAAUGGCAUAAGCCAGCUUGACUGCGAGCGUGACGGCGCGAGCAGGUGCGAAAGCAGGUCAUAGUGAUCCGGUGGUUCUGAAUGGAAGGGCCAUCGCUCAACGGAUAAAAGGUACUCCGGGGAUAACAGGCUGAUACCGCCCAAGAGUUCAUAUCGACGGCGGUGUUUGGCACCUCGAUGUCGGCUCA